This 440-nucleotide ribosomal RNA is filed under the name uncultured bacterium. RNAcentral's name for it is "partial 16S ribosomal RNA". It matches the Rfam family "Bacterial small subunit ribosomal RNA", at positions 338 to 795 of the family's 1533-position model. The record is from RNAcentral.
CCUACGGGUGGCAGCAGUGGGGAAUAUUGCACAAUGGGGGAAACCCUGAUGCAGCGACGCCGCGUGAAGGAAGAAGUAUUUCGGUAUGUAAACUUCUAUCAGCAGGGAAGAAAAUGACGGUACCUGACUACGAAGCCCCGGCUAACUACGUGCCAGCAGCCGCGGUAAUACGUAGGGGGCAAGCGUUAUCCGGAUUUACUGGGUGUAAAGGGAGCGUAGGCGGCGAUGCAAGUCAGGAGUGAAAGCCCGGGGCUCAACUCCGGGACUGCUUUUGAAACUGUGUUGCUAGAGUGCAGGAGAGGUAGGGGGAAUUCCUAGUGUAGCGGUGAAAUGCGUAGAUAUUAGGAGGAACACCAGUGGCGAAGGCGGCUUACUGGACUGUAAAUGACGCUGAGGCUCGAAAGCGUGGGGAGCAAACAGGAUUAGAUACCCGUGUAGUC